Long non-coding RNA from Salvia miltiorrhiza (redroot sage), 518 nucleotides. RefSeq lists it as uncharacterized. Lineage: Eukaryota; Viridiplantae; Streptophyta; Magnoliopsida; Lamiales; Lamiaceae. The transcript is spliced from 2 exons. The record is from RefSeq and is a predicted model, not a curated record.
GUUUAAUUACCUUCACUUAUGUUACUCUGCUUUAUUUUAAAUCAAUUUCUGAUUUAAAAAUUAGUAGCUAAUGUGAAUGUUUUGUCUUAAUUUGAGAUAUUGUAGCUGCUUCACUGAUUAAGAAUGAUUUUUGAAGUGCGUUUUCAAAGUCCACUGUUUUGAAGAUUUUUGAGCUAUUCUGAUGAGAUACCAUUUAAAGUUGGUGCUCCUGGUGCUUUCUCAGACCCAACAUCAGGUGACAAGAUGGCGCUAGAUCAAUUCAUCUCAUUGUGGAUUCAAGAAGAUACAAGUGCUCUAUCUAGCAUGCCUUUGAGUAAGAUACAAGAAGAAUUUGUGAAUCAUUUGCAUACUUGAUAUUAAUGUUCAAGUUCCCAGGCCAAUCAUUAGCUAUAAGGUAGUUGGUAUUUUCAAUUUUGAAUCGGAAUAUGCAAUGAUGAUGUAUACUUGAUAUUUGGUUCAUUUGUAUAAUAAUGUAUGAAUUUUUUGGAUGAUAUAUAAUAUUGUUAUCGUUGAUUUUA